CCCAGGGCUGUGGGUGCAGUUUGGGGGGGGCUGUACAUCAUCACGGUCCUGCCUACGACAUAAACUUUAUGCUGCGUAUCAAGUCACGUGAGCACCAAAACUUGAUCUUUCUGAGAGCUUCUUGUAUGCAGCCAGCUAAAUAACAAAGGCUUGUGUCAUAAAAGGAUGAAUAAGAUUAUUCUGGUAGCAUACAUACCGAAGGAUGUGUCCCAUGAUUGCAACUCUGGGCUGCAGUCAGUUGUUGUUUGAGAUAGCAUGAGGAAAUGAGCAGAAUGUGCUAUUUACACAGCAUGAAUUUGUGCAGUUAGGAUCUUGGGAGUGCACAGAAACAGGAACCAAAAGUUAUUAAUUAGGCUCCAUGUUAAGGGAGGAGGAGAAAGCCUGCUGCAUGGAUGUACAAGUAGCACCUGUGAAGAAAGUAAACUAUCCUGUGAAGAAUUUACAGGAUUGAGAGACACAAGGGUCCUGGCUCUCAGAAGAACUCCUACCUGUGGAAGUAUACUAUUUGUUAUUGGGUACUACUUAGAAAAUCUUUAGGCUGAGGUGGAGCUUGGGCACUGUCAUAUGGCAACUCUGGAGGCAGUGUUGGACAACAUGAGGGCCAUCUGCAGAAUCUGCACUCAACAAUCACAACUCUGUGAAACUCUUAAAUAAAACUAUUUCACAACAAGAUUGUGGAACAUAUGUUUUCUGAGCUGAGGACACUGCUAUUCUGAUUUUUCUCUUGAUGGGUAAAGUGUGAUAUUUGACAAUAAAAUUUAUGAAAGUU
This is a non-coding RNA of Cyanistes caeruleus (blue tit), 769 nucleotides long. NCBI's taxonomy places the organism in Eukaryota, Metazoa, Chordata, Aves, Passeriformes, Paridae. The record is from RefSeq and is a predicted model, not a curated record.